AUGCUGGCUUUGGCAGCACAUAUCCUAAAAUUGGAAUGAUUCAGAGACUAGCAUGCCCCCCGUGCAAGGAGGACACACAAAUUUGUGAAGGGUUCCAUAUUUUU
Molecule: small nuclear RNA, 104 nt
Organism: Rhinolophus ferrumequinum (greater horseshoe bat)
Lineage: Eukaryota; Metazoa; Chordata; Mammalia; Chiroptera; Rhinolophidae
Source: Ensembl